This 4748-nucleotide long non-coding RNA is filed under the name Taeniopygia guttata (zebra finch). RNAcentral describes it as "lncRNA (ENSTGUG00000023915.1)". Lineage: Eukaryota; Metazoa; Chordata; Aves; Passeriformes; Estrildidae. The record is from RNAcentral.
AGCACUUGGCAGAAGGUGGUAGAACCAGGUAAGAAGGAAGGAUCUGCUGCACUACUGAUUCCUUGGCAUCGCUGGAAAUCUCCUUAGAAGCCACCAACUAAUGGUGAAGAAACAUUUGAAGACAUUACUAGCUGAAACUAGCAUAUACAUAAUUUGUUCAUUUUCCUAAUUCAAAGUUUGCAGAGAACCAUGAAAUUUCUGUAACAGAAAUCUGUGCUGAAGGCUGUAAUACUACUCAAGAAGGUGGAUGCUUCAAAGAAGUGCAUUCUUGAUUUGCCAACUCCUGGGAGUAGUUACACAGUCUCAUAGUUAGUCAGGAGAGUUUAUUGUGCUCAGGAAGUUAAUUUCUGACCUCCUGGAGAAUUAACCAUGUGAAGGGUGAAUAUAAAUGAUCACAGAAUGCUAAACCUGGGAUGACCUGGAGGUCAUCUAGUACAACCUCAGAGUCCCCAAGAACAGCUAGUCAGGAUUGUGCCUGGGCAGCUUCCUUAGAUGUCCAAUGGGAGAGACUCCACAACAUCUCCUGGGCAACCUGUUCCAGUGCUCGAUCACCCACACCGUGUUCAGGUGGAACUUCCUGUGUAUCAAUUUUUCCUGCUGCCUCUUGGCUUGGCACCAGUGAGCAGAGCCUGGUCCAUCCUCUUGGCAACCUCCCUUUAGAUGCUCAUAGGUAUUGUUAAGGUCCUCUCUUGAUUAUCUCUUCUCGAGGCUGAGCAGGCCCAGAUCACUCAGCCUUUCCUUUCAGGAGAGAUGCUUCAAUCCCUUCCUCAUCCUCAUCGUCUUCCACUGGGCCCACUUUGGAUACCUCCACGUCUGUCUCGUACUGAGAAGCCCAGAACUGGACACAGCACUCCAGGUGAGGCCCCAUGUGGCUCAGGAGAGGGGCAGGAUCAGCUCUCUUGACCUCCUGGCACUCCUCUUCCUAAAGCACCCCAGAAAGGGUGAUAACUGGCAGGUUGUUGAGGACAGGGCAGAAGUAUUUAAGUGACACUGAUGAUUUUUUGGAUGGACAAAUUUUUGCUGGCAGCCCCUUUGAAUUUGGAGUUGUUGCUGUUUGAAGAACAAAUCUAUAUCCAUUAUGUUAUAUGGCUAGAAGAGAAUUUCUUUACUAAAAGUCGUUCAGAAAGGUCUUCAGAAAAUGAGUUAUUGACCCAAAGUAGUAGAAUUUGUAGAUCAAAAAGAUAAAUGGCACUAAUUUCUAAUAAUUGCUAAAGUUGUAUGGAGGUGUUUGAAGUUCACAGCAGCUUCUACAAGAAUUCUUUUACUGCAUCUUGGGCUACAGGCAGUAAUAAUAACAUUAAAUCCCAAUUAUCAGAUAAAUAUGCAGCUUGAAAAUAUAAUUACCAGAUGACUCCUGAUAAAAUCAAAGGCAAGUAUGGAGAACCUGGAAAAAAUUACAGAAAACUUAUGGUUAUGCAAAGACUUCUGCUUAUUAUUCAACGUAACUAUGGUUAUGUUGAAUGACUUCUUCCAGGGACAGUAUCUGCUGCUUAACAAUUACAGAACAUUAAUGUGCUAGGCUUUUGGAAAUACUAGCCAUGAAUUUUAACUGGAUGGUCACCCUCCUGCAGAUCUCCAAGAGGAUAUGCUGGAAAAAUUUUCUCAUAGCAUGUUCAUACAGAGAAGAUGGAAGAUCAGUAUAGCAGAAUCCCUUCUGGAGUUCAAAAAAGGGUCAGCCAGGACUGACAUGUACACUGUCACUCCUUUUAUGUUUUGUUUCUACAUUUGUGUUAUUUUCUAAGUGCAUAUGAGGGUUCUGAUGCUCAGAAUGGUGAGAGAUCCCAGGUGAUAUUCAGCCACAAAUGAUUUUACUCCACCAGGAGGAUUCAAAGGACAUUCUCUUGAGCCUGGUUCUUGAGUCAGUCUUCUACUUCAUCAGCUACCUUCUCCACCAUUAGUGCUAAUGUGAUGUUCCUUUUGUGUGUGCACAAAAGACAUAUCCCUGAUUCCAUGGGAAUUUGGGCAGGAACAAGGAGAAUGCAGAAGAAAGGAACUUGGAAGCGAAGGAAUCCAGCAGUAGAUCAAAUAGUAGCAAAUAGUUUGUUGUCCAGUUAUAGCUGUAGGCGAAGAACUGCAAAGAAUAUGUGAACUGAAGAUGGCAACAGGAGAAAAGCUCUCUAACAGGUUAAAGUGAGAAGGUGAUGUAGAACAAGUUGCAUCAGCUUUGUUGGUCAGUUGUAAAUAGUUCUGCGUGGUUGCUGUCUUGGACAAAAAGACAUUGUGAAAUUAUUCCUUUCCCAUCCUGCCCCAUUGUGUCUGGAAUGGGAAGCUUUUUAUUUUGAUCUGCUCAUGAGAAGGCAAUCAACAACCCUAGGUGUUCAUGCGUGAAGGAUUGAGGUGCAGGAAACAAAGCCAUGCAGAUUUUCCCCAUGCAUUCAUGGAGCCCUUUUUGACUAUGUGGUCGGCAGUUUAUGGCAAUUAGCUUUAGUCACUGCUGCAAGAGAGCGAAAAUCUAAGAGCCAGUAAGCUGAGUGUAGGGGUAUGAAGUCAACUGUCAGUGAUUUCAUAUCCCUUCUCUUAGUAGAAGGUGUAUGCACAGAACUUAGGCAGGUUUUCCCAGAAUGGCACUGCACCGAUAGGUGUUAAUGGUGUUCGUAUUUAGAUCUGUAUUUGAUAAUGCACACAGAGAAUUCCCCAAGCAAUUUGCAGAGUUUAGGUCAGGAUACUUCCUUUGCUUGAUUUGUCUUUUAUGUCCAUUUAGGCUGACUGCCUUAGCCUGAGACUGUUUAGAUCCAGGUAGAGAGGCCACCUAUCCCCAGGAAUAACUGAUAUUAUCUCUGUCCUCUGAGGACACAGAAAAUAGGAUUGGUUCUCGUUUGCCUCAAAAAGACGGGUCAGUAGUAACACCAGGGCAAGUUUUGCUAAGAAUUAACUUGAUGAAGUGAAUCUUCAGGCAUUCUUCAUCUUCAGGCAUUUUCUUGUUCUCCCUAGCUCAUGGAUUUUUGGGGUGUGGUUUUGAUAGACAGGUAUCAAAUGCUGUGCAGAGAUGCGAAACAGUCUUCCUGGGUCUCCUCUGUUAGCAGGUGAUUCCUGGAAGCUAAAAUCUGAUUAUGUAGGAGAUUCUGUUGUACUCUGAGAAGGUCUGGAGGCAGAGAUUGAACAGUGCUCCAUGAAAAAAUGCUGGAAAUGCUCAGUUAAAAGAGAAGCCUAGGUUUUAUUAAGAUACGUAUUGAGGAAUGGAGAUACAAGUUCUUCUCUCAACCAAGGUGAUAGUCUUGUGAGAUUAUUUUGUCUUAGAUUGUAUGCUCUAAAUACUUCAGCUUUUCCCUUUUUGUUUUCCCAAAUAAUUCUGAUUAAAUCAAUCAGAAUUCCAAAUCUAGCAAAAGGACAGUAUUUUUCCCUUGCAGUUCCUCUGCUGUUGCUCCCAAAGCCUUGUAGCUGUAAACACUGAUACUGCUGUUGUGCCAGAUUUGCACACUGAUCUGCAAGUCACUCCUUUGUACCCCUUUUUCUACACUUUGAUUGUAACUUCUGUUUUGCAGUAAGUGAUCAAUUAAUUUGCAUGCACAGAGUUUACUAACAAUCAGCCAUGUGGCAGCUGCUCCUCAUAAAAAGUGCUCCAAACUUUCCCUCCCUCUCUCCCUCCCUCCCUCUUUCCCCCUAAAAGUAACUUCCACUUUUAGACUCAAUAUAUACCAUUAGUGAUGGACCCUCUAAUAAAUGCUGGAUGCUGAAUGUGAGCCUGUUUCCAGCAUCCUUUCUGCAGCAACCUGGAGUUGAUAUGUGUUAACCCCUGCUAUAGAAAUAACCUUUUACAUAUAUCCUUUGAACACAUCCAGAGGCUAAAGCUCUCUGAGGGAUAUUUUAGCAUGUCACACUUCUAUUAUACAAUUCUUCUUAUGUGAUAAGCUUAAAAACCCUCCAGUUAAAAAUGGAGUUUGUAGCUGUAGUUUCUCACAUGCUGAAUGCUCACAUUCAAGAUGCGAGUUUCAGAGUUAGGGGGUUAUAAAUAUAUGAGAAUAGUCUAUGAAAUAUAUUUUUUAAAAUUAAGUGUCAAUAUCAUGUUAUUAUUAUUAUUAAACUGGAAAGUAUAUUCAAUACAGAUAGGUACUAUCCUGUCAGCUAAAUAUUUGACAAUCAAAAAAUUAGCUAAGAUUUCUUCAAGUGGCAACCUAAACAGAAUUUACAAGUUCUACGGUGGCAGGAUACUUAUAACUGAGGCUGCUUUUCACAUUAAUCAAUACUGUAUUUCACAGCAGACCAUUUCUCUUCUUUCUCAGUUUCAGAAAAAUAGUAUUUUUUUCAACAGCUCUGUGAAUUAAUUAAUGCCAUUUAUUCUUCUGAUUCUAACCAAAGGUUGUCAGGUUCCUUUAGCCUGUGUAUUGAUCUGUAAUAUAACCUUCCAUUUCCUGCAUCUGCUAUUAAAUGGAAUAGAAUUCAUAAUGGUUGCACUCCUGAACAGCUGUUCACCUAUCCAGUAUUGUCAGGUCACCAGGGAAAGUUGCUAAUACUUGAGGAGAACUUCACUGGUAUAUUGAUGUCUUCUGUUGUUCAAUUAACAUUUCUAAUGUGGAAGAAAAGAAGAUAGUAUUUAAUAUGUCAGGCACCCUUAAGACAACUCUGUUUCCAUUUUCUAAUGCCAAAACCUAAUACAAUGUUUAUGUCCAUUAGAGUUAAAAUACUUUCCUUAUUAGCUGCCUAAGUGCAUUUUUUCAACAAUAAUAGUGAAGGGCACUCAGUAAACUAAGACUAAUUAAUCUCCUCAGUCUCCCUUUUGUAUUUAUCUGAUGCCAAAAGCAAUAAACUUU